This 700-nucleotide ribosomal RNA is filed under the name Klebsiella pneumoniae. RNAcentral's name for it is "bacterial SSU rRNA". It matches the Rfam family "Bacterial small subunit ribosomal RNA", at positions 133 to 806 of the family's 1533-position model. The record is from RNAcentral. Lineage: Bacteria; Pseudomonadati; Pseudomonadota; Gammaproteobacteria; Enterobacterales; Enterobacteriaceae.
AUGGAGGGGGAUAACUACUGGAAACGGUAGCUAAUACCGCAUAACGUCGCAAGACCAAAGUGGGGGACCUUCGGGCCUCAUGCCAUCAGAUGUGCCCAGAUGGGAUUAGCUAGUAGGUGGGGUAACGGCUCACCUAGGCGACGAUCCCUAGCUGGUCUGAGAGGAUGACCAGCCACACUGGAACUGAGACACGGUCCAGACUCCUACGGGAGGCAGCAGUGGGGAAUAUUGCACAAUGGGCGCAAGCCUGAUGCAGCCAUGCCGCGUGUAUGAAGAAGGCCUUCGGGUUGUAAAGUACUUUCAGCGGGGAGGAAGGCGAUAAGGUUAAUAACCUUGUCGAUUGACGUUACCCGCAGAAGAAGCACCGGCUAACUCCGUGCCAGCAGCCGCGGUAAUACGGAGGGUGCAAGCGUUAAUCGGAAUUACUGGGCGUAAAGCGCACGCAGGCGGUCUGUCAAGUCGGAUGUGAAAUCCCCGGGGCUCAACCUGGGGAACUGCAUUCGAAACUGGCCAGGCUAGAGUCUUUGUAGAGGGGGGGUAGAAUUCCCAGGUGUAGCCGGUGAAAUGCGUAAAAGAUCUGGGAGGAAUACCGGGUGGCGAAAGGCGGCCCCCCUGGACAAAAGACUGACGCCUCAGGGUGCGAAAAGCGUGGGGGAGCAAACAGGGAUUAAAAUACCCCUGGGUAGUCCACCCCCGUAAA